CAUAAAGAAGCUAUAGUAGCAGUAACCUUUUAAGUUAAAGACCGAGAUAUACUUUCUCCUUUAUGACAUGCCCCAACUAGAUACAUCUACCUGAUUUAUAAC
This 102-nucleotide transfer RNA is filed under the name Zaglossus bruijni (long-beaked echidna). Its description in RNAcentral is "transfer RNA-Lys". The record is from RNAcentral. Lineage: Eukaryota; Metazoa; Chordata; Mammalia; Monotremata; Tachyglossidae.